RNAcentral lists this long non-coding RNA (497 nucleotides) under Aquila chrysaetos chrysaetos. RNAcentral describes it as "lncRNA (ENSACCG00020008500.1)". Lineage: Eukaryota; Metazoa; Chordata; Aves; Accipitriformes; Accipitridae. The record is from RNAcentral.
CACCGUUCUAACAUUAGCGCUAAAUGAGCAGUGUGGUUAUACUACCAGCCCUUAAUUGCUAUAAGUGUAACAAACCAGUUCGAUUUGUCAUUCAGCUGUUGUCGACAGGAAACCACUAACAGCAGUCAACUGACAACGCCAAGAAAAAUUAGGGUUUCUCUUUCAACGUGUUCUAAGGAUUAAAACUUAUCAAGGCGAGCUGAUGUUCUUAAGUACGCAUCCUGCAAGGGAUUUUUUAACUCUGGUGGACAACUAGGAUCGACUGGGAUAUGAUUUAAUCUGAACAAAAGAAUCACCAGGAUGGGGUUGCUCGGGAGCAAAAAUCAGCUGACAUCCAAUGAGAAACACACUUCUGGAAGCAACCCAAAAACCAAGAGUAAAACUCCUCCCGCCCCACCCAAGAUAACUUGGUUGUGAUUGCACUGUACGAUUUUCCUGCCGCAAGUGACCGCGAUCUGCAGCUGGUCAAGGGGGAGAAACUCCAAGUUCUCUCCAAG